Molecule: non-coding RNA, 1265 nt
Organism: Vicugna pacos (alpaca)
Lineage: Eukaryota; Metazoa; Chordata; Mammalia; Artiodactyla; Camelidae
Source: RefSeq, a predicted model, not a curated record
UCAGACGUGUACUCUUCAGCUCUGGGUGAGAUGGGUGCCUGGUCCCAGGAGCAGACCUUUGGCGCUCUGCCCAGUCACUGCCCACUGAAUAGAACUGGGCCCUCUGCAGUGACAUUCAGAUCUUUUUCCUGAAGAGCUGGAACUAAUUGAGAACUUGUCAGUGUGUGUAACCUGCUUUGUGCUGCGUUCUGCUCCAGCUCGCCUCUGCCAGAACCCACUUUGGAGGCAUCGGGCUGUCAGUUGCAUAGACUAGAUGGGUCCUCUUGGAAUUCUCCUUUCUGUCGUUUAGCCCUUUGUAAUGAUAUCAUCCAGCUUCCAAAGGGUGAGUGUUUUGAAAGCAUUAAAUCAGUGACUCUUAACCUUUUCAGGGUCAUAGACACUUCUGAGAAUCUUACAGAAGCUGUGGAUACUCAUCCUCCUGUCCCUGAAAAUUUAUAUGCACACAAAAUGUAACACAUAGUUUCACAGAUGUCCCAACACCCCGCCCUUAAAUCCAGACUGUGGACCCCAAAUUCCAGCACUGAGUAGUAGUUAUAUUUAUAAAUAUCUGGUCAGUAUUGUUCACCAGUAAGCUAAUACCAAACAAGUCAGGACAUGAGUGUUUGUGUCUAGAGCAACUUUUCUUUUAAGGAACCAGAUGUUUGUUGAUCUGCUCUCAUGGGUUGGUGGGAUAAGUAAGGAAGGGAGAUGGUCUUAACAAAACAGAUCCUUUGUUUUACAUACACUUAACAGCUAACUAGCCUUGGGGACAAAUUGUAAAUAUGAAAAUAAUUGACCAUGCUGUCAAAAAAAAGGCACCAUCAGGAGGUACUAACCUGUUAAGGCAGCAUGCACCUAUUACAUACAUACAGAAUGCACACACACAAACAGGGUUCUGAAUAUAUAGGAGAAGGACUUUGUUCUUAGAAGAUAACAUGUGAAAUGUUUAGCAUGCCAUCUGCCACUUACUUUAAAGUGUUUCAGAAAAAUUAUAAAUAUAUUGAUAAAGCAACUACAGAAAAUGCUAACAUUUAUUGAAUCUAAGUGGUAGGAAUAUGGCUAUUCAUUGUACUACUCUUUAGACUUUCCUGUGUUUGAAAUUUUUCAUUAUCAGAACUUAGAGAAUAAAGGCACACAUUAUUUUGAGAGAAAUGUCACCAUAAGCACAAUCUUUCACUUUUGGACUAGAUUUUCUUCAUUCAGUCACUGAGCGUCAUUUUCCCGACAGAACAUAAUUUCACUGUAUUAGAAUCCUGUCUGAAGAUGUCCAGCAUUACUGUAGCUUA